UAGGGGAAUCUUCGGCAAUGGACGGAAAACGUCUGACCGAGCAACGCCGCGUGAGUGAAGAAGGUUUUCGGAUCGUAAAACUCUGUUGGUAGAGAAGAACGUUGGUGAGAGUGGAAAAGCUCAUCAAGUGACGGUAACUACCCAGAAAGGGACGGCUAACUACGUGCC
RNAcentral lists this ribosomal RNA (168 nucleotides) under uncultured bacterium. RNAcentral describes it as "partial 16S ribosomal RNA". It matches the Rfam family "Bacterial small subunit ribosomal RNA", at positions 354 to 509 of the family's 1533-position model. The record is from RNAcentral.